Molecule: ribosomal RNA, 477 nt
Filed under: uncultured bacterium
Lineage: Bacteria
Description: partial 16S ribosomal RNA
Rfam family: Bacterial small subunit ribosomal RNA
Source: RNAcentral
GACGAACGCUGGCGGCGUGCUUAACACAUGCAAGUCGAACGGAAAGGCCCUUCGGGUACACGAGUGGCGAACGGGUGAGUAACACGUGGGUGAUCUGCCCUGCACUUUGGGAUAAGCCUGGGAAACUGGGUCUAAUACCGGAUAGGACUACGCACUGCAUGGUGUGUGGUGGAAAGCUUUUGCGGAGUGGGAUGGGCCCGCGGCCUAUCAGCUUGUUGGUGGGGUGAUGGCCUACCAAGGCGACGACGGGUAGCCGGCCUGAGAGGGUGUCCGGCCACACUGGGACUGAGAUACGGCCCAGACUCCUACGGGAGGCAGCAGUGGGGAAUAUUGCACAAUGGGCGCAAGCCUGAUGCAGCGACGCCGCGUGGGGGAUGACGGCCUUCGGGUUGUAAACCUCUUUCAGCACAGACGAAGCGCGAGUGACGGUAUGUGCAGAAGAAGGACCGGCCAACUACGUGCCAGCCGCCGCCGUAA